AAACAUCGAUGAGAGAGAAACAUCGAUCAGCUGCCUCCCGCACAUCCCCCACCGGGAAUGUGCCUGCAACCAAGGUACAUGCCCUUGACUGGAAUCGAACCUGGGACCCUUGAGUCCGCAGGCUGAUACUCUAUCCACUGAGCCAAACGGGUUAGGGCGAGACCAAUCUUUUUAUUUUUAUUAUUUAGUUUUUUUAAAAUAUAUUUUAUUGAUUUUUUUACAGAGAGGAAGGGAGAGAGAUAGAGAGUUAGAAACAUCGAUGAGAGAGAAACAUCGAUCAGCUGCCUCCUGCACAUCUCCUACUGGGGAUGUGCCCGCAACCCAGGUACAUGCCCUUGACCGGAAUCGAACCUGGGACCCUUCAGUCCGCAGGCCGACGCUCUAUCCACUGAGCCAAACUGGUUUCUGCAAGAGACCAAUCUUUUAAAAAUGCAAAUUCCAUCCCAACACCUUUUCUUAAAAAAUAAAUAAAUAAAUAAAAAUUCCUGAAAUGCUGAGUCAGGACUAGAACAUUCCCUUUCACAGGGUAUAUAAAGUCCUCCCCAACAUGCCCCAAGGAUCUCUCCAGCCCCUUCCAUACCUGCCAGCCCAGCAUGGUGUGCUUUCAUCUCUGACCUUUGCAUAUGGUGAUUCUCUACCUCAGAUAUCCUCAAAACUGUCUCCAUAUGUACCACCAUUUCCCUUUACUUGCCUAAUCCUUCCCCUUCACCUCUUUGCUCAAGUAUAUCUGGGCUGCUUCCUCUCCAGGUUGGGUAUCGACCUCAGAUGACAUUGUACUGUCCCAUUGCAAAGGCUGUGACCUCUUUCCUAUUGGUCAAUGAACAACAAGAGAACUAUCCCCUAUCCUUGUACCUCAGGUGCAUAGGGCCUUGCCUGUCAUGUUGAUGGUGUUCAGAUGACAUGACUGGUCCACCUGGAGCUGAGAGCUUACUUAACAAGUGCUAGUGCAAUCUUAAUUCUGCCAACAGUGGCUGAAACACACAGCGCCACCUGGAGGGCAUGAGUCAGGUUGUGCACCAGGGCACCCAAUCCCAAAGGUGGUCCAAGGAUCUCCUUCAAGGAGAAUUUGGAAGAAGGUAAUAUAGCUAUGUUCUUAUUCUUAAAAGACUCUUUAAUUAGACUGAAUGGUAGAACGCUUUAAAAAGCACAAUUGGUUCCCCUUUUCAUCUUUUAUUUCCUUAGGGAGAAAAAAGGAUCCUGGUGGUUGACAUGUGGGAGGCAGAGCCAUGAGUUCCACAGGAGGAUCUAUAUAUAGCUCUGUGAUCAACAGCUUUGCUUCCUUGCCUCCUCAGCAGCUGGAGACAGGCUGUUGCUUCCAGAUGUGGGAUGGAGAAGGUGCAUGCAGGCAAACUUACACAUGCCUGGUGUGCAGCAAGAGGCUCCACAAACAUUUGCCCAAUAUGCUUCUCCUGAAGACAAUCUCAUGUUUAUUAGCAUAAGCUCUGGAAGUUGGGACUAGCAAAUUGAAGAGUCACUUAUGAGCUGAGUGACAGACCCAGCCCAGGCCCCAGAACUUUGAUCCAACCUCAACCUGAGCCAGCACCAGAAUGUAUAACCACUCCUUAACAGCCCCUCCUGGGAACUGACUGACAGCAAGAGAAGACAUUUCCUGUUCAACUGUCCCAUCACACCAGCUGCUCAUCCCACUCCCCCAUUCCAGGUUCUGUUUAGUCUUGCAUACCCCUCCAUAUAAAAGAAACCCUCUUUCCAUCUGCCCUUUGAGAGGCUUACAAAGCUUAUGACUGGAGUGUUCUUGCCAUUGCAUUAGACCUCCUACUGUAACAGACCCCUUCUCUUACGCAAUAAUCCUUCUGAGUAAAGUCUCUCCUUACCUAAGUCCAGAUUUGUUUUUAACACAAGAAUGUAUGGAAACCCACCCAGUUCUACCUUGAUUCAUUUUUCCAGACAAGAAACAAAAAAAACUGACCACCAAAGACUGAAGGGCAUCAAUACUGACCACAGUAUGGAUGAUGGUGAUAACGGUGGCUAGUCUCUUCAUAUAGAAGUUUCUGGCUACUCUGCUGCUUCCCUACUGUUAUAUAAUAAAGAUUUUGGCUGGUCUUUGUUGCCAGUUCCUAAAUGGGAACCUCUAAAUCCUUAGAAUUUCCCCAGUGAUAGGGCUGUUUUUGUUAUUCAUGGUGAACCCUGAGAUCACACCUAAGUUUAUGUUUAACAAGGUAACUCAUGGUGGGCCCUAGAGUUUCAGAAUGGGGCUGGCCAUACCAGAAAGACCAACCAGGAGAUGAGAGAACUGGAGUACUGAGACACCUGAUAACACUAUAGCCUCCUAGGGUGGGAGGAGGAGACGAAGACUGAGUUCAAUCAUAUCAUGUGAACUAUGAGUCAAUCAACCAUUUUAUUAAUAAAAACCCAAUAACUCUGGACCCUGAAGCGCAGGUCAGCUUCUUGGUUGGUGCUGAAAGGGUGAUGCAUCCUCGGGACGUGCAAACAUCAAGUUUGGGACUCUCCCAGACCUCGCCCUAUGUGUCCCUUCUUUUAGCUGGUCUUAACUCCUAUCUCCACCCCCCACCCCAAAAUAUAUUUUUAUUGAUUUCAGAGAGGAAGGGAGAGGGAGAGAGAGAUAGAAACAUCAAUGAUGUGAGAGAAUCACUGAUCAGUUGCCUCCCAUGACUAGGGAUCAAGCCCACAACCCAGGCAUGUGCCCUGACCAGAAUGGAAUCUGGGACCCUUCAGGCCGCAGGCAAUGCUCUAUCCACUGAGCCAAACCAGCUAGGGCCUAACUGGUAUUUUUUAAAAGGUAAAAGGUAAUUGUAACUACGGUGCUUUCCUAUCAGUUGUUCUGGUGAAUUAUUGAACAUGAGUGGCAACUCCCUGGGUUUGUAGUCAGUGGGUCAGAAGUAUGAGUGCCUUGGGGCCCCUGAGCUUGUGGCUAGCAUCUGAGGUGAGGGCAGUUUGUGAGGGCAGUGCCCUUAUUCUGUGAAGUUUUGCCUAACUCUAGGUUGUUAUUGUCUGAUAACUGAAAAUGUUUGUACCACAAACCACCCAUCCUCCAUACCUCAGAUCAUACACGGAUCUACAAGCAGGGCCAUGGGGACGGGAUGGAAGAGCAUGUGGUCAGCACUGAGCACCCACUGGCCUAUGGAAACACCACUCCUGCUAAAGCUUCCUGCUACGCAUGAGCCAAAGUGAAACCAGAAGUCUUCCUAACUAGGAAAAAACAUGGGUCAAUAGUGUUACCUGAGGGAGUCUGGCCACUUGUCCUCUGAAAUACUGCUUAGCAGCUCCUGGAAUGAUCUAAAGAGUUCCACUUUGCUGAUUCGAGAUCUGUUUGGAAAAAGACAAAAAGGACUCAUUAAGUGUUUGCUACAUAUCAGAUCCCUAUCAAAGAUGCAAGGCUUCACAAUGGUAUUUAGGUUUGCAUGUGCCAGAGCCCCAUUUCACCUGUACUGGCAAGGAGAAAAUCUAGACCUGAGGCUUUGAUUAGGUCGAGGCACAAAAAUGAAUCACAUCUUUAGAAAUGUCACCAGCAGUGAAAUCAUCAAGGGACAGGUUCCAAUGGGGUAAAGGCAGAGGUGAAAUUACCAAAUUCCCCCCAGAACACCCUCCAUAACACAUUGGCUACCUCCUUUCAAGAAAGCUGGCCCCUUGGGUAACAUUGUUUACAAGAAAUUAAAAGCUUUGUUUCAGAACCUUGAGUGCUGCUCCUUGUAUGGGGUCCACUUGGAUGAGCCUUCUGAGGCAGAGUCUCCAGACUCUCCCUUUGGGCACACGUGCCAUUGCAGGCCAACCCAUUGCUUCUAACAUCAAGCUUUAGGGAGGUCAUCAUUUGAACAGUGAAGGACGUGAGUGUGGAUUCCUUACCAGCUCACCUGGGGCUUCUUGGUUUGGCUCAUCCACGUCGGUGUGUACUAGACUGUAUGUACCUCCUUCCUUUCCCUCAUAAACACAAUUCAUGAGCUGAUUUAGAAGUUGGGAACUGUUGCCUGUGCCCACAAUGUGUGUCUCGUGUCUACACACUGUAUCCUCCACUGUUUCCACAAACGGUACCAUCAGCUUGGACACAGUGACCAUAUUGGAACAUAUGAUAUAGGGGAUUGUACAAUCUGUCAAGAGACUCCCUUACCUGGCUGGGACCUGGCCUACUGAAAAGAAUCAUGGCUUAAAGCAGAACCUUGAGCCCUCACAGGCUGCUUUCCCUGGGCCUUAAUUGUGGUAAGGCACUCAGGAAUAUAAAGCUGCUUUAACAUUAAAAAAAAACUCCAAAGCCAAAAAAAUAAUGGAACUCACCUCAUUAACAG
Molecule: long non-coding RNA, 4259 nt
Organism: Myotis daubentonii (Daubenton's bat)
Lineage: Eukaryota; Metazoa; Chordata; Mammalia; Chiroptera; Vespertilionidae
Source: RefSeq, a predicted model, not a curated record